CCUGCGGCAUAUGGAGGUUCCCAGGCUAAGGGUCUAAUCGGAGCUGUAGCGCCAGCCUACACCACAGCCAUAGCAACGCGGGAUCCGAGCUGCGUCUGUGACCUACACCACAGCUCAAGGCAACGCCAGAUCAUUAACCCACUGAGUAAGGCCAGGGAUAGAACCCACAACCCCAUGGUUCCUAGUUGGAUCCGUCAACCACUGAGCCACGACGGGGAACUCCUGGAGAGCCAUUGUUAAGACUGUAAUUUAGAAUUAGUUAUCACUGUUUUUUCAGAGAUGAAAUUCUUUUUUUAUUUUAUUUUAUUUUAUUUUUUGUCUUUUUGCCAUUUCUUGGGCCGCUCCCGCGGCACAUGGAGGUUCCCAGGCUAGGGGUCCAAUCAGAGCUGUAGCCGCCAGCCUACACCAGAGCCACAGCAACGCAGGAUCCGAGCCGCAUCUGCAACCUACACCACAGCUCACGGCAACGCCGGAUCGUUAACCCACUGAGCAAGGGCAGGGACCGAACCCGCAACCUCAUGGUUCCUAGUCGGAUUCGUUAACCACUGCGCCAUGACGGGAACUCCUAUUUUUAAAUUUUAAUUUUAUUGGAGAAUAGGUGAUUUACAAUGUAUUAGAUUCUCUGUAUUAGUUUAAAGUGUACAGCAAAGUGAAUCAGUCAUAAAUAUAAAUACAACCAUUCUUGGAGUUCCUGUUGUGGUGCAGUGGAAACAAAUCUGACUAGAAACCAUGAGGUUGUGGGUUGGAUCCCUGGCCUCGCUCAGUGGGUUAAUGAUCCAUCAGUUGCCAUGAGCUGCGGUAUAGGUCGCAUACACGGCUUGGAUCUGGCAUUGCUGUGGCUGUGGUGUAGAUCGGCAGCUACAGCUCUGAUUGGACCCCUAGUCUUGGAACCUCCAUAUACCAUGGGUGCAACCCUAAAGAGGACAAAAAGUAAAAAAAAUAAACAACCAUUCUUUUUUCCAUUUAAGUUAUUACAAACUAUUGAAUAGAUUUUCCAGUGCUAUACAGUAGGUUCUCAUUAAUCAUCUAUUUGUACAGUAGUAUGUAUGUGUUAUUUCCACCCUUCUAAUUCUUCCCUUCUCCCAAAUUGUCUCACCUAUGAUAACCAUAAGAUUAGUUUUGAGAUCUGUGAAUUUGUUUCUGUUUUUUAAAAUAAAUUCUUUUGUAUUAUUUUAUUAGAUUCCACAUAUAAAUGAUAUAUGAUAUUUGUCUUUCUUUGACCUACUUCACUUCUAUGAUAAUAUUUAGGUCCAUUCAUGUUGCUGCAAAUGGCUACAGGAAGGACUCACAUUCAACCUGUUAUAUUUGAUUUAAGAGGAGCACAUCGCAUCUGUAAGGAAAAAUACUUACUGACCCCAUCUUGCUAAACUUGGCCAUUACAGAGUUCAUAUGAGAGUCCCAUGUCUUUACCUUUCCAAUUCCAUCCCAUAUAAGUGAGAAUGGUUGAGUGAGCAAGCACUAUCAAGACUGCUAUUCCAGAAAUAAGGGUCAGCUAAUGUACUUACUUGGAGGCAAAGAUAUUUGAUUUAAAAUAAAUGAUAGUUGAAAGGUAAAGUAAUUGCAACUGCUAAGUUUUUUAGUAUUUUGUUAUGUAGCAAUUUGCAGCCAUUCAACAAAUAAUACACCAUCCCAUGGUGGAUUAAAAUGUAGGGGAAGAUCUAGUAAGAGACUCACAGUUUUUACUUCCAGGGAUCUGGAAGAAGAUUAUGCUUUAGCAGAUGGCAGAGAUUUCCCCAUCAUUUGAGAAGCAGGUCCUUGCGUUGUGUUGGAUCCUAGAAAAGACCAAGUUUCAUGGGGCACCAGACAAGUUACUAUAAACUGAGAUUCCCAUCAUGACCUAAAUAGUAUUGGACCCAUGAACAAAGAUUGGAUGGGCACAGCAGCAAGAAUUAUACCUACCUUACCUGAGCCUGGGCCUGGGCAGAUCCAGAAGGCACAAAUAAAUUCCUUGAAUCGGUACCUUAGCCUCCCAUGAUACCCACCAUUAUUGAACAAGUCCUUCUUCCUCAACUCAUACCAUGCCUCACAGAAGGUUUCCCAAGGCCAACUGAUAGAAUUGAGAGAAUCUGGACCUGGUUUGCAAAUGGAUUUAUACAAAUAUUCUAGCUGUAAUCUGAAUAUUUCAGAACCAUAGCCCUACUCAAGGAUGUCCUGAAAGUCAGUGGUGGAAGACAUCCACCAAAUGGGUAAGUCUAUGAGGGAUACACUUGGCAUCUCCUUUAUGUGGUUAGAGAAAUAACUUAUGGUAAGCUUGAAAAUAAAAUGCUGACCAGUGGCCUGCAGCUUGGAAGGAGCAAGAUCCAGGAUUAGGAGAUGUGAGAAAGCAUUAUGAAGAUAGAUUUUUUUGGGGGGAAUGGACACAAAGUGUGAGGAAUUUGUAUUAAUAUCAGUACCCACAGAAAAGAUCCACUAGAGAGAAGACAGUCAACAGGGUGACUAAUAAAAUAGGUUUCACUUAGUCU
This 2462-nucleotide long non-coding RNA is filed under the name Sus scrofa (pig). Its description in RNAcentral is "lncRNA (ENSSSCG00000056907.1, ENSSSCG00130016410.1, ENSSSCG00160021160.1)". The record is from RNAcentral. Lineage: Eukaryota; Metazoa; Chordata; Mammalia; Artiodactyla; Suidae.